GCGGGUAUGGUGGAAUCGGUAGACACACAAGAUUUAAAAUCUUGCGCUUUUGGCGUGCCAGUUCAAGUCUGGCUACCCGCACCA
This 84-nucleotide transfer RNA is filed under the name Vibrio alginolyticus. RNAcentral describes it as "tRNA-Leu". It matches the Rfam family "tRNA". Rfam says of the family: Transfer RNA (tRNA) molecules are approximately 80 nucleotides in length. RNAcentral also lists the same sequence under 1 other name. Lineage: Bacteria; Pseudomonadati; Pseudomonadota; Gammaproteobacteria; Vibrionales; Vibrionaceae. The record is from RNAcentral.